Molecule: non-coding RNA, 98 nt
Filed under: Secundilactobacillus oryzae
Lineage: Bacteria; Bacillati; Bacillota; Bacilli; Lactobacillales; Lactobacillaceae
Description: Lactobacillus oryzae Guanine sequence
Rfam family: Purine riboswitch aptamer
About the family: Riboswitches are metabolite binding domains within certain messenger RNAs that serve as precision sensors for their corresponding targets. Allosteric rearrangement of mRNA structure is mediated by ligand binding, and this results in modulation of gene expression. A class of riboswitches that selectively recognises guanine and becomes saturated at concentrations as low as 5 nM.
Source: RNAcentral
AAUUUAAAAAAACGUGAUGCCUAUAUAUAGCCAUAAUAAGGUUGGCUGUUUCUACCCAGUACCGUAAAUACUGGACUAUAAGCAAAAGUGCAAACCGA